RNAcentral lists this small RNA (127 nucleotides) under Marmota monax (woodchuck). Lineage: Eukaryota; Metazoa; Chordata; Mammalia; Rodentia; Sciuridae. The record is from RNAcentral.
GCCAGGCAUGGUGGCAGUUGCCUAUAAUCCCAGCAACUCAGGAGGCUGAGGCAGGAGGUUUGCAAGUUGGAGGCCAGCAUGGGCAAUUUAAUGAGACCCUCAGCAACUUAGCAAAACCUUGCCUCAA